This 459-nucleotide long non-coding RNA is filed under the name Helianthus annuus (common sunflower). RNAcentral describes it as "hypothetical non coding rna". The record is from RNAcentral. Lineage: Eukaryota; Viridiplantae; Streptophyta; Magnoliopsida; Asterales; Asteraceae.
GUGGGAUCGAUCAAGAGCAGGAGGGGGCAAGACCAAACCCUAACUUCACAAAUCCUCCAAAAACAGAAGGGAAUUUAGAGUUUUAGUGAAUGCAUGAGCCCUAAUUCGAGUAAUCUAAGCUUGUCCAACCCUUGGCGUUAAGGAAGAAAGUUCAAGUCAAGGGAAGCCGCAAGGGAAUCAAGACCGAGGUAAAUCUCAUGUCUAGUUAUCAAGCUUGCCCGGAUCGAACACACCUCAAGCCCGUCAAGCGCUCUGCAUUUUGUAUAAGUCGAUGUCAAAUUACCUAGUUACUUAUGUUUAUGCUUUGUACUUAAACUAGUUUGGUCAUGGUUGUCUUUUGAAAAGUUGUCGUAGGUGCGUACAUACUUAAUGGUUUUCGAAACUAAGGAUAGGUCAUCUUUUGUUGUGUAUGUCAUGUCUUCGAAUGUUUGCGUAUAGUUGAAUGAAGUUUGUUUAUGA